AGUUGCUAUAAGAGUGAGAGAGAGUCUUUUUCGAUAGUGAGAGAGAGGUAGCGUGACAAAAUAGAAGUGUUGACUUAGGGUUUUUAAUUUGUUGUGUAAAAAAAAUAAAAAAGGAAAAACAAUUAAAAAAUAGUGUUACUUUCAUCGAGGCGUUGCCUCAGCACCUUGUCGCCCUGCGCCUCUCACGUUGGGGCGACCGCCUGCCGUAAGCAAGGCCAGGCAAGGCGCUCAAGGGACGCCUUGCCUCGGCACCUAUGGUGCCUUUAACAAUAUUGGUAUCAGUCACUAUUGCCAUGGGAGUGCAUGCAUCAGAUUAGCAAAUAUAUUUUCUAAAUAUAUGAUUCAUAAUGGUACAACUAUUAUCUCGUAAAUAAGAAAUUAUUGUCCUUUCUUGUUAUGUUCACUACAUGGAUUAGCACCCCCUUAAACUUGUCGUAUGACUUAAUCAACCAACAUUCCAAUUUCCUUUCUAUCACUUCUACUUCUCAUACAAAUCUCUCACAUCAAUCAGUGAAAAAAUGCUCACUAUCUUGAAGAUUGUUAAAUUAUUUAUCACUCCUAUCUUAAGGUACUGUGAUUUAACACAACUAAG
This 592-nucleotide unclassified non-coding RNA is filed under the name Hevea brasiliensis (rubber tree). The record is from RNAcentral. Lineage: Eukaryota; Viridiplantae; Streptophyta; Magnoliopsida; Malpighiales; Euphorbiaceae.